This 115-nucleotide ribosomal RNA is filed under the name Acanthosepion pharaonis. Lineage: Eukaryota; Metazoa; Mollusca; Cephalopoda; Sepiida; Sepiidae. The record is from RNAcentral.
UUACGGUCCAAUCACGCUGAAAACACCGGUUCUCGUUCGAUCACCGAAGUUAAGCAUCGUAAAGCCAGGUCAGUACUUAGAUGGGGGACCGCUUCGGAACACCUGGUACUGUAAG